RNAcentral lists this ribosomal RNA (453 nucleotides) under uncultured bacterium. Its description in RNAcentral is "SSU rRNA". It matches the Rfam family "Bacterial small subunit ribosomal RNA", at positions 26 to 518 of the family's 1533-position model. The record is from RNAcentral.
AGAGCGAACGCUGGCGGCAUGCUUAACACAUGCAAGUCGCACGGGCAGGGGAAACCCUGUCAGUGGCGGACGGGUGAGUAACGCGUAGGUAUCUAUCCUUGGGUGGGGGACAACUGUGGGAAACUACAGCUAAUACCGCAUGAUGACCGAGGUCCAAAGGCCGCAAGGCCGCCUGGGGAGGAGCCUGCGUACGAUUAGCUAGUUGGUGGGGUAACUGCCUACCAAGGCGACGAUCGUUAGCUGGUCUGAGAGGAUGAUCAGCCACAUUGGGACUGAGACACGGCCCAAACUCCUACGGGAGGCAGCAGUGGGGAAUAUUGGACAAUGGGCGCAAGCCUGAUCCAGCAAUGCCGCGUGGGUGAAGAAGGUCUUCGGAUUGUAAAGCCCUUUCGACGGGGACGAUGAUGACGGUACCCGUAGAAGAAGCCCCGGCUAACUCGUGCCAGCAGCCGC